CCUACGGGAGGCUGCAGUAGGGAAUAUUGCUCAAUGGGGGAAACCCUGAAGCAGCAACGCCGCGUGGAGGAUGAAGGUUUUCGGAUUGUAAACUCCUUUUGUUAGAGAAGAUAAUGACGGUAUCUAACGAAUAAGCACCGGCUAACUCCGUGCCAGCAGCCGCGGUAAUACGGAGGGGGCAAGCGUUACUCGGAAUCACUGGGCGUAAAGAGCGCGUAGGCGGGAUAGCAAGUCAGAUGUGAAAUCCUAUGGCUUAACCAUAGAACUGCAUUUGAAACUGUUAUUCUAGAGUAUGGGAGAGGUAGGUGGAAUUCUUGGUGUAGUGGUAAAAUGCGUAGAGAUCAAGAGGAAUACUCAUUGCGAAGGCGACCUGCUAGAACAUAACUGACGCUGAUGCACGAAAGCGUGGGGAUCGAACAGGAUUAGAUACCCUGGUAGUC
Molecule: ribosomal RNA, 440 nt
Filed under: uncultured bacterium
Lineage: Bacteria
Description: partial 16S ribosomal RNA
Rfam family: Bacterial small subunit ribosomal RNA
Source: RNAcentral